RNAcentral lists this transfer RNA (97 nucleotides) under Metallosphaera cuprina Ar-4. Its description in RNAcentral is "tRNA-Pro". It matches the Rfam family "tRNA". From Rfam's summary of the family: Transfer RNA (tRNA) molecules are approximately 80 nucleotides in length. The record is from RNAcentral. Lineage: Archaea; Thermoproteati; Thermoproteota; Thermoprotei; Sulfolobales; Sulfolobaceae.
GGGGCCGUAGUCUAGCUUGGACUAGGAUGCCAGCCUGGGGAGGAAUCCCUAACCACCAGAUCGCUGGUGGUCCCGGGUUCAAAUCCCGGCGGCCCCA